CCUACGGGAGGCAGCAGUGGGGAAUCUUGCGCAAUGGGCGAAAGCCUGACGCAGCAACGCCGCGUGCGGGAAGAAGGCUUUCGGGCUGUAAACCGCUUUCAGCAGGAACGAAAAUGACGGUACCUGCAGAAGAAGGAGCGGCCAACUAUGUGCCAGCAGCCGCGGUGAUACAUAGGCUUCAAGCGUUGUCCGGAUUUAUUGGGCGUAAAGAGUUCGUAGGCGGUCGAGUAAGUCGGGUGUGAAAAUUCUGGGCUCAACCCAGAGACGCCACCCGAUACUGCUUGACUUGAGUUCGAUAGGGGAGUGGGGAAUUCCUAGUGUAGCGGUGAAAUGCGCAGAUAUUAGGAGGAACACCGGUGGCGAAGGCGCCACUCUGGAUCGAUACUGACGCUGAGGAACGAAAGCAUGGGUAGCAAACAGGAUUAGAUACCCUGGUAGUCCAUGCCGUAAACGGUGGGCACUAGGUGUGGGUUUCUAUUAACGAAAUCCGCGCCGUCGCUAACGCAUUAAGUGCCCCGCCUGGGGNGUACGGUCGCGAGACGUAAACGUUAAAGGAAGUUAGUAACGGUCGUGAGACGUGCCGAGGACGACGACGAGGGAGGUUAGG
Molecule: ribosomal RNA, 607 nt
Filed under: uncultured bacterium
Lineage: Bacteria
Description: bacterial SSU rRNA
Rfam family: Bacterial small subunit ribosomal RNA
Source: RNAcentral